AUACCUUUCUCGGCCUUUUGGCUAAGACCAAGUGUAGUAUCUGUUCUUAUCAGUUUAAUUUCUGAUACGUGGGCCAUUGGCCCACAUGAUAUUAAAUUAGUUUUUCAUUGGGGAGGGCCCAUUUUAGUAGCUUGCUACUGGGUCAUCAUGCGUCCCCCAUUCGUUGCACUACUGUUUGGGCCUGGCGCGCCUCCA
Non-coding RNA from Jatropha curcas, 195 nucleotides. The record is from Rfam. Lineage: Eukaryota; Viridiplantae; Streptophyta; Magnoliopsida; Malpighiales; Euphorbiaceae.